UGUGAACUCGAAGAGUAGGGCGGGACACGUGGUAUCCUGUCUGAAUAUGGGGGGACCAUCCUCCAAGGCUAAAUACUCCUGACUGACCGAUAGUGAACCAGUACCGUGAGGGAAAGGCGAAAAGAACCCCGGCGAGGGGAGUGAAAAAGAACCUGAAACCGUGUACGUACAAGCAGUGGGAGCACCUUCGGGUGUGACUGCGUACCUUUUGUAUAAUGGGUCAGCGACUUAUAUUCUGUAGCAAGGUUAACCGUAUAGGGGAGCCGCAGGGAAACCGAGUCUUAACUGGGCGUUAAGUUGCAGGGUAUAGACCCGAAACCCGGUGAUCUAGCCAUGGGCAGGUUGAAGGUUGGGUAACACUAACUGGAGGACCGAACCGACUAAUGUUGAAAAAUUAGCGGAUGACUUGUGGCUGGGGGUGAAAGGCCAAUCAAACCGGGAGAUAGCUGGUUCUCCCCGAAAGCUAUUUAGGUAGCGCCUCGUGAACUCAUCUUCGGGGGUAGAGCACUGUUUCGGCUAGGGGGUCAUCCCGACUUACCAACCCGAUGCAAACUACGAAUACCGAAGAAUGUUAUCACGGGAGACACACGGCGGGUGCUAACGUCCGUCGUGAAGAGGGAAACAACCCAGACCGCCAGCUAAGGUCCCAAAGUCAUGGUUAAGUGGGAAACGAUGUGGGAAGGCACAGACAGCCAGGAUGUUGGCUUAGAAGCAGCCAUCAUUUAAAGAAAGCGUAAUAGCUCACUGGUCGAGUCGGCCUGCGCGGAAGAUGUAACGGGGCUAAACCAUGCACCGAAGCUGCGGCAGCGACACUAUGUGUUGUUGGGUAGGGGAGCGUUCUGUAAGCCUGCGAAGGUGUGCUGUGAGGCAUGCUGGAGGUAUCAGAAGUGCGAAUGCUGACAUAAGUAACGAUAAAGCGGGUGAAAAGCCCGCUCGCCGGAAGACCAAGGGUUCCUGUCCAACGUUAAUCGGGGCAGGGUGAGUCGACCCCUAAGGCGAGGCCGAAAGGCGUAGUCGAUGGGAAACAGGUUAAUAUUCCUGUACUUGGUGUUACUGCGAAGGGGGGACGGAGAAGGCUAUGUUAGCCGGGCGACGGUUGUCCCGGUUUAAGCAUGUAGGCUGGCGGAUGGAGCUGAGACCAGUCGAAGAUACCAGCUGGCUGCAACUGUUUAUUAAAAACACAGCACUGUGCAAACACGAAAGUGGACGUAUACGGUGUGACGCCUGCCCGGUGCCGGAAGGUUAAUUGAUGGGGUUAUCCGUAAGGAGAAGCUCUUGAUCGAAGCCCCGGUAAACGGCGGCCGUAACUAUAACGGUCCUAAGGUAGCGAAAUUCCUUGUCGGGUAAGUUCCGACCUGCACGAAUGGCGUAAUGAUGGCCAGGCUGUCUCCACCCGAGACUCAGUGAAAUUGAACUCGCUGUGAAGAUGCAGUGUACCCGCGGCAAGACGGAAAGACCCCGUGAACCUUUACUAUAGCUUGACACUGAACAUUGAGCCUUGAUGUGUAGGAUAGGUGGGAGGCUUUGAAGCGUGGACGCCAGUCUGCGUGGAGCCAACCUUGAAAUACCACCCUUUAAUGUUUGAUGUUCUAACGUUGGCCCCUGACCGGGGUUGCGGACAGUGUCUGGUGGGUAGUUUGACUGGGGCGGUCUCCUCCCAAAGCGUAACGGAGGAGCACGAAGGUUAGCUAAUCCUGGUCGGACAUCAGGAGGUUAGUGCAAUGGCAUAAGCUAGCUUGACUGCGAGCGUGACGGCGCGAGCAGGUGCGAAAGCAGGUCAUAGUGAUCCGGUGGUUCUGAAUGGAAGGGCCAUCGCUCAACGGAUAAAAGGUACUCCGGGGAUAACAGGCUGAUACCGCCCAAGAGUUCAUAUCGACGGCGGUGUUUGGCACCUCGAUGUCGGCUCAUCACAUCCUGGGGCUGAAGUAGGUCCCAAGGGUAUGGCUGUUCGCCAUUUAAAGUGGUACGCGAGCUGGGUUUAGAACGUCGUGAGACAGUUCGGUCCCUAUCUGCCGUGGGCGCUGGAGAAUUGAGGGGGGCUGCUCCUAGUACGAGAGGACCGGAGUGGACGCAUCACUGGUGUUCGGGUUGUCAUGCCAAUGGCACUGCCCGGUAGCUAAAUGCGGAAGAGAUAAGUGCUGAAAGCAUCUAAGCACGAAACUUGCCCCGAGAUGAGUUCUCCCUGAGACUCGACGCGAUGGAAGGA
RNAcentral lists this ribosomal RNA (2206 nucleotides) under Klebsiella pneumoniae. RNAcentral's name for it is "bacterial LSU rRNA". It matches the Rfam family "Bacterial large subunit ribosomal RNA", at positions 398 to 2925 of the family's 2925-position model. The record is from RNAcentral. Lineage: Bacteria; Pseudomonadati; Pseudomonadota; Gammaproteobacteria; Enterobacterales; Enterobacteriaceae.